CACUUGCAAAAAGCAGGCGAGUGGCAGACAGGAUUAGAACCCAGGUCCUCUGAUUCCCUGGGUAUCGAUCCGUGGGUGGAAAUUCUUCUGGCUGGCCUCCUAUUUGAACAGAAGAUGCCUUAUUGAUCCCUUGGCCCAGAAAUCACGUUGGUUCAUGGGACAGCCCGUUUCAGGUCCUCCCUAGAGAACAAAAAGCCACAGGCUCAAAUCUCAUUCCCACAGCAAUCUCCCAAGCCUUGAGCUAAACCCCAGGGCUUAGACCCCAGAGAUUUCAGGGGUAGUCCAGUUGCCUUUAGCAUUUAAAUUAAGUGACAAGCCUUGGGCUUGAGUCCAGGUUAUUGUUGAUACUCAUACCAGUUUGGGGCAAGAUUGGCCAUCACCUGGAAAGGUUGUCUGGGUUCAGCUAGGCACUUAGCCUACAUUGGUGGUGUGAUUGAAACUGCUACAUUAUAGGUAGGCACAUCUUUCUGCUUCCUUGCUGGCCCAGGACAAAACACCAGAAACAAAAAAAACAAAACCCAACGACUUGCUCUGUGGGAGGAAUCUCUACCUUGGGACUCCAGGAAACCAGGCAAGGGUGACACAAGGUAAGAAUUUCAUUUUCACCUCAGUCCUCCGCCAGGGCCGGAUGCACCCGUGGGCAGCAGUGAAUCUGAAGAAGACAUGGAGAAUUCUGCAGGCACUGCCAUUCAUUCAAUCGAUGAUAUUGACUGAGAGUCUGUCGUAUGCAGAACACUACACUAAGCACUUGGAGAUGUUCAAAUUCAACUGAAGUCUCUCUCGCUUUGUCUUUGGGACUUUUGCAUCCUGUCGGUUAAAUGCUCGGCUCUAAUGGUCCUUCAAAGAAGCAAAGUUCCCAGCCAGGAUGAUUCCACAGUUCAGUAACAGCAUGUGGAAGGGGUGAGAGUGAGGUAGCAUUUCCUGCUAAAGAGGUGUCAGAGUUUUUGGUUCCACAAACAUAGACUGUACCUGCUCUCUACCACCAGGACCUCAUCAGGUUUUCCCUGAAUACUGGGCAAAAGAGUGUGGAUGGUUCAGUGUAACCCAUCCUCAUGGGAAAAAUCAAAUUAAGCACGUCUUGUCAACAACAGGAUAUUCUUUCCCUCCUCCUCCCAUCCCAAACUGAAAGAUAAGGGCAGCUCCAUAUUGAUUUCAGUUGCUGAAGGGGUAGCAGCAUCUUUCAAGAGCAUCCCUGGCAUCUGAGCAGCCUCUUCAUGAGUAUGCUGUUUAUUCCUUUUUUUUGCAAGGGGCUAAGAGAAGCCAUCUCUUCAGGUGCAAGGCAUGGAAAGGGCCAUUUUUCCAGCCACGAGCACUGUCAGCUGCAUUGUCUCUGAGCAUGUGCAGCCACAUGAAGCAGCAGCAUCAGCCUGGCAAUCAUAAAGGGAAAUCAAUAAGUGCAGUUUGCUUUUUCGAAUUCAACCAUUCAGGAGCUACAUUCCUGGGGCAGAGCAAAGCACCUCAGAAAUAAGCCUUUGCACCAUCGGCCCUCCUGUGGCAUAGAAAUAUUUCAGGUAAAAACAUUAACUUCCGUAAUUCCGACACUUCCUUGCAGGGUGGCCACUUAUGAGACUUGUCCUUCAGAAUGUUUAUCACCUUCAGCUAGAAAGUUCCCAGAGAUAACGGGGCUCACCACGGAAAGGGAUGAAAUUGGCGGUAUUGUCAUUGGCAUUUUGCUUCCUGAAAGACCGCAGGCCCUUCCUUCCCUGCAUCAGGACACGUGGCACUUCUGAAAGGGAUUAUCAUUCUCUACUACUUAAAAAUGCAUGAGGGUGAAAGGAAGUGACUUUCGUUUUCAAUUGGGUUGGGAAUUGCUUUACUGAACUGUGAGUGGAUAAAAUAUUCUGAAGGAAAAUCUCCAUCCUGCCUGAAGUCAAGUCUGCGAACCUCUAAUACGGGAGAUAAUCCCAUUUUCUUUAACCUCAUUUAAAAAAACCCCAAAACCCAAGAAAGCCAGAAUGCCUUUUUAUUGUAAACAUAAUCACAGAUUUAAAUUUAAGUGAAUGUUUGUCAAUUGAACAACACGCUCCCUCUCUAAUAUACAACUACUGGUCAUUAAAUUUAAAAAAAAUCACCAUUGCAGUAAGUAUAGACUGUCAUUUUCCUAAACUUUUUGGGAGGGGCAAAUAAAGGAAUGACAUGAAUCAAUCAUUUUGAAAAAUUCAUAAUGUGACUAUGGCUGUUUGAAAGACAAUUCCUUAGCUCUACUUACUGCCUCUGUUCUUUAGUGAACUGCUAGGGCAAUGGAAACUUAGGUCUCACAUAUCCUAUUAUCUAAAUCAAGACAUCACUGUCAUCACCGUCAUCCAAUAGGAUUUAUUCAGCACCUAUAUGCCCAUGACAUAGUAUACUUCAGAGCACAGUUCAUGAAUCUAAUUUGGGCUUCAGGGAGAGUAGCAUGUGACCAUCUGAGGGCCGUGCUCAGUCCUGUCGAUCGAUUCGGACUACAGUGAUCUGAGAAAGUGAUGCAUGAAUAAAAUUAAAAGGCCAUGCACCAGAUUUGAUUCAAUCAAGAAGCCCUCUUGAAUUCUUCCCAUUAUAUUUUUCGCUUGCUACUUUGAUCCCUUGAACGGUUAUCCGUUUGUUGAGCAUUUUGAUUUCAACCCUGAAAAAACUGUUAACGUAUUUUAAAAAUGGACAUAAUUGGGAUUAUGAUCCACUAGUUUUCCAUCUGAAUUAUUUUUUUAGCUGAUGAGCACUUUUAAAUAUGAUUUAUCUGUUGCAAAUACAAGACUGAUUUGCAAAUGAGCAAAAGAGGGGGAUUAUUAUCAUUAAAAACAUUCAUCAAGCACCCACAGAGUGCAUAGCGUUUAUGAUGUGACAUAUUUACAGAUUGGUUUGGGGAUUACAUUUGGGGAGUAAAAUCAGUCUAAAAUUUGGGAUUGAAUUUUUUUUGGUAAUUAAGUGGCAUCAAAAGCAAUGAUAAACCCAAGGGUUGCCAAGAAAGACUCGCCACAAUUUAUUGCCAGGUGGGUUGCUGACCACUGAAAGAGGGAACUGAGGGAAAAUAAAUAUAAGAUUUGGGGUGGCAGUCGUCACCUCCAUCUAGCCCUAAAAUUCUUGAUAGCUUGGGCAGGAAACAUGCUCAAAGUUGACAGCAUGUCAAACCUCUUUGGCUAUCAGGCCCCCAUUUCGUUAGGCUUUGUUUCUCCCUAUAAUUAAAUUUAAAAAAUGUAAAAAGCUCCCCUCCCCCCUCCCUGGAGUCUCAUCUUAUUCCAAAGUAAUCUAAAUCUCUUAAAUUAGCAUGAACGAUGAUCACAGUAGCAAAUUCCAACCACAAGUUCAUGAAUGUUCAGUACUUGGUCCCCACUCCC
Ornithorhynchus anatinus (platypus) is the source of this 3311-nucleotide long non-coding RNA. RefSeq lists it as uncharacterized. The record is from RefSeq and is a predicted model, not a curated record. NCBI's taxonomy places the organism in Eukaryota, Metazoa, Chordata, Mammalia, Monotremata, Ornithorhynchidae. The transcript is spliced from 2 exons.